Non-coding RNA from Drosophila persimilis, 147 nucleotides. NCBI's taxonomy places the organism in Eukaryota, Metazoa, Arthropoda, Insecta, Diptera, Drosophilidae. The record is from Rfam.
CCGUUUUUGUGUUAUUCGCUGAAUGCCCAUCUUGGCCUAGUGAUUGUCAAACAGAACGCACAUUGAAGACCAGGCAUCUGCUCUCACUCCACAAUGUUAUGUCCAUUAUAUCCAGGACAACUACAUUACUAUUAGCGUGCCACAACA